RNAcentral lists this long non-coding RNA (321 nucleotides) under Physcomitrium patens. Its description in RNAcentral is "long non-coding RNA (PPAT_LNC001086)". Lineage: Eukaryota; Viridiplantae; Streptophyta; Bryopsida; Funariales; Funariaceae. The record is from RNAcentral.
UAACGUCUUCUCAACACAUACAUUUGGAAGUAGAAGAUAUGCAAAUUGAUGUGAUAUGUUUCAAACCUCUUAUUGAGUAAAAAAAGACUUAUCAUUAUCAAGAAGGAUAAUGCUUGUAUUAUAGAGAACCUAAGUAUACUACUCAAUAUUAUUCAAAAAAGUGACACAAUCAAAACAUUAUUUUGAGAUCUGCAACAAAUUAAUGAGGAAUUCAAGAUAGUUUGACACUCAGGUGCUACCGCCAAUAGUUGCUUCAUGGAGAUUGUGAGUUGUAUGGUAUCCAAAUCUUUUAGAAUAUCAUAUGAUUUUGUAUUAGUCGUA